Molecule: long non-coding RNA, 613 nt
Organism: Oncorhynchus tshawytscha (Chinook salmon)
Lineage: Eukaryota; Metazoa; Chordata; Actinopteri; Salmoniformes; Salmonidae
Source: Ensembl
UAAUAGACAGGUAUAUAGCCCCUGGGUUAAUAGACAGGUAUAUAGGCCCUGGGUUAAUAGACAGGUAUAUAGCCCUUGGGUUAAUAGACAUGUAUAUAGCCCCUGAGUUAAUAGACAGGGAUAUAGCCCCUUGGUUAAUAGACAGGUAUAUAGGCCCUGGGUUAAUAGACAGGUAUAUAGCCCCUGGGUUAAUAGACAGGUAUAUAGCCCCUGAGUUAAUAGACAGGUACAUAGCCCCUGGGUUAAUAGACAGGUAUAUAGGCCCUGGGUUAAUAGACAGGUAUAUAGCCCCUGGGUUAAUAGACAGGUACAGUGCCUUGCGAAAGUAUUCGGCCCCCUUGAACUUUGCCUCCUUUUGCCACAUUUCAGGCUUCAAACAUAAAGAUAUAAAACUGUAUUUUUUUGUGAAGAAUCAACAACAAGUGGGACACAAUCAUGGAACGACAUUUAUUGGAUAUUUUAAACUUUCAUAAGAGAGAUGUGUUUUGGAGUUGACAUCAAAGAGAGAUGUGUUUUGGAGUUGACAUCAAAGAGAGAUGUGUUUUGGAGUUGACAUCAAAGAGAGAUGUGUUUUGGAGUUGACAUCAAAGAGAGAUGUGUUUUGGAGUUGACA